GAGAGUGGGCACUGCGAGCGUGUCCGACACACACGCCGUGUGCAUGCUGAUGGGUGGGGUGCGGACAAAAGAGCUGCUCGCCUUGACCUGAUCCCCUCGGUCAGUUUUAAAAGGAGUGCACUCGUACCGUACUACUUACACCUCGCACAGAUAAAGUAUGGUCCCAGCCUUGUUUAGAUUUCAAUAAUUUCUGUUCUAUCGCAACACUGCUUCCAGUUUGCUGACUUCACGGAUCUAUCAAUUUUCGCCUAUGAUUGAGAGUUGUCAUUAAAAAUGACAUUAAUGUUUGGGACAUUGAUCGUUACACUGACUGAUAGGGUCGUUUCUUGGCACUUUCCAGAUGCGCAUGUUACUCCCUGCUUAUCAACCAAUGUCGGAAAGUUGUCUUGGUGUGGCUCUAUCCAGGCAUGGCUUACUUUAUUUUGAGGAACUGCAAGACAAGUUGGACAUUGACCAAUAUUCAGCAAGUCCCCACCUCUGACUUGAUGAUGGAAGUAAUGUGCUUCAGCCCAGAAUGCUGCUCCAAGAACCCACUGCACCAAAAGCCUAGUGGUGGAAUGAUUCAUCUCCAACAACCACAAACCACCAAAAAAUUCAGUAUUACUAUGAAUCCUUGAUACCAAAGUCUGCCUUAAGGUUGAGGGUGUAACUACUGCCUCACAUGUAAAAUUCUGUCACUUGGUCCAUGUUUUGACAAAGGCUAAAAUAAGGCCUUUUUGUCUAUUUGUACAUGUUUAGAAAACAAUUUCUAAAUUACAUUCUUGUAAAAGGAAUGCAGCCGUAAAGGAAUUAAGCCCUUAAUGGUGCAUGAAACAAAGUUUCUUUUCAUAUUCUCCUAAUCAACAAUUAAUCAUUGGAAAAUGUUUACAGAUUUUUUAAAAAUAAUUAUUCAGCAAUUUGAAAUUGCAAAUCUGGUUUUAUUGGACAUUUUAGUUUUCCAAAUUGUUAACUUUUUACAAAAUCUUUGAAAUAAAGAUUUUGAAAUAAAGAAAUAAAAUAAUCAUUUGAUUUAAAACAAUCAUAUGAAAAAAUAGUUUAGCUAGUGCUAACUAAUAACAGAAAAUAUAACCUUCUGUCCUGCGAAGAAAGGUGGCUGAUUUCAUUUUUAUAGGAUUGAUUUUGUCUAGUGGUGUAAUAAAACCAAUAUUGACUACAGCAUUCAGCCCAGAGCUAGUUUCCCCACAGGUGCCGAAUUGACCUCAGCUGUUCACUCUUUACAACGUACUCCGUCAUGUUUGGGUCAAUAGGUUACUGUUCCAUUUAACAAUUACAAUCAGUAUUACUGAAAUAUGGGGAGCUUUGUAUUAAAAAAAAACUAAUCUAAUAUCUCACAGUGCUGAGCGUCCCCCAGCACUUUACUUAGACCUGCCAGAAAGAAUGACCAACCUGCAUAGACCAACACAAGCACUGAGGGUGAAGACAAAUAAGGAGAGGCUUUUAAAAUAUAUUGAAGAGCAGGAGAUGAUCAGAGAGGCAGUAAUUCAAGAGUGACACAAUUUUGUUCAUGAAUGAUAACAAGGUGUAUCAACUAUUGUUCACAAAAAGUGAAAGUUUUCACUUUUCUGAAAUUGCUUCUGCUCCCUCUUUUGACUGCAAAUGUGCACAGAAUGGUUUAAAAGUUAAACUCUUAUAAAGCAUUACUAAUAAUUUCUCUUUUAUAAAGUAAAAUUGAUGAUUUAACUUAUUAAAAUAUCUGAGCAUUCCUUCCAUCAACGUCAUGCAGGUGACUUUAUAUCUGUUGCACUUUAUCCAAAUAUCCUUAUAUUUUCUAAACUUCCAAAUUAUGAAAGUCAGAAAUCAACUUUGGCUUAUAAUGAACAAGGAUACCAAAAGGAAUAACAAAAAAAAUCAUAUACUGUUUUCCUCUGAAGUAAUUUCAGAAUUAGAGUAAUAUAUAUUACUAUACAAGAGAAGACGUAUUUUUGAAGUCAGAAUUAUGCAGCGAGAAAUGAGCCUUUUGGCUCACCUUGGCCAUGCUGACACUUGCUCAUUUACAUGAAUCACAUUUACCCACACGAGGCUCAUAUUAAUUCUAUGUUUGACUGUUUCUUUCUGUCUAAAUGUCUCUUAAAUACGUUGAUUGUAUCUGACGUCAUCUCUGUGGCAACCACUUUCAGGUUUCAAGAUUCAAAGUACAUUUAUUAUCAGCCACAAAGCAAGAAACCUGAAAUAACCCGAUUAAAAAAAAAGACCAACACCCGAUGCGCAGAGAAAGAGAAAAAAAACAAAUCAAACAAACAAUAGAAGGGAAAAGCAGCAUUCCAAACCAAAUUGAGUCCUUGGAUCCAAAUCCCCGGAAUAGGCCCAGAGCCUCAGUCUCAGUUCAUGAUAUUGGCAGGCAAAUCGCCGCGAAGCUCGCAGACUCAGCGCAGCAGGUGGGGCAAUCUCACAGUCUCAGUGCAAAAUUGGCCCAACCAUUGCCUUCAGUCCUGACACCCUGCCUUUCUGGUCUACUUAGGCCAACAUUUGAAUUGUCUCAGCUAUAGAUUGUGCCUUGUAUUAGAAGCGGUGCUCUGCCACAGCAAUACGCUCUGGGCUUAGGCCUCACCAUCCAGCCCGAAGCUGUUCUUGACCUCUCGUAAUCGGUUUGGUGCUUAAGGUGAUCCAACCUUGCACCCGAGUUAGUUGGACAGGCUUCAAAGCUCCUCUGCUUCGACUCCUCCUCUCUGACUCCAACGCCAUCUUCGUACUCGUCUCGAACACGUUACGCUUCAGCUUUGCAUCACAUCAGCAUGGCUCAUCUUG
Hypanus sabinus (Atlantic stingray) is the source of this 2745-nucleotide long non-coding RNA. RefSeq lists it as uncharacterized. The record is from RefSeq and is a predicted model, not a curated record. The transcript is spliced from 2 exons. Lineage: Eukaryota; Metazoa; Chordata; Chondrichthyes; Myliobatiformes; Dasyatidae.